This 443-nucleotide ribosomal RNA is filed under the name Austrozele sp. RDB-2000. Its description in RNAcentral is "eukaryotic LSU rRNA". The record is from RNAcentral. Lineage: Eukaryota; Metazoa; Arthropoda; Insecta; Hymenoptera; Braconidae.
CCUGAGAAACCCAAAAGAUCGAAUGGGGAGAUUCAUCGUCAGCUUAUCCAGUAUAUGCGCAAGUUGUGAUAUAAAUUUUUCGGAAUUUUUACAUGCUUGUGUUAUUUAAUUGCUGGAUAUUUGUCGGCGUGCACUUCUCCCCUAGUAGGACGUCGCGACCCGUUGGAUGUCAAUCUAUGUCCUAAAUGGUAGCCUUUAGUAAUAUUUUUAUUAAUAUUAUUGAAGACCAUUGGUGUACUGACUGACUGUUCGACGGUAUGCGCAUGGUAUUGAGCCGCAUAAUAUAUGCGUCGAACUUGUAACAAGCCGAAUUAGUGUCUAACCUCGCAGUAUGGACUUUGUUCCAUCGUGAGGCCUGAUUUGCUGUUAGUUUACAAUGUUCUUCGACUGGCUCGAAAAAAAAUAUACCGGUCGGCGACGCUACUGCUUUGGGUACUUUCAGG